AGCUCCAAUAGCGUAUAUUAAAGUUGUUGCAGUUAAAAAGCUCGUAGUUGGAUUUCUGGUGGGGCUGUCGGCCUGGCUCCGAAAGGGGUCGUGGUAUCGUUACACGCCUGGCCAUCCUCGGGGGAAGCUUUGCUGGCAUUAAGUUGUCGGCGGAGUGACGCUCGUCGUUUACUGUGAACAAAUUAGAGUGUUCAAAGCAGGCUUAGGCCGUUGAAUACAUUAGCAUGGAAUAAUGAGAUAGGACUUUGGUGGUCUAUUUUGUUGGUUUGCACGCCGAAGUAAUGAUUAAUAGGGGCGGUUGGGGGUAUUCGUAUUCAAUUGUCAGAGGUGAAAUUCUUGGAUUUAUGGAAGACGAACUACUGCGAAAGCAUUUACCAAGGAUGUUUUCAUUAAUCAAGAA
RNAcentral lists this ribosomal RNA (400 nucleotides) under phytoplankton environmental sample. RNAcentral's name for it is "partial small subunit ribosomal RNA". It matches the Rfam family "Eukaryotic small subunit ribosomal RNA", at positions 587 to 983 of the family's 1831-position model. The record is from RNAcentral.